Molecule: ribosomal RNA, 117 nt
Filed under: Anolis carolinensis (green anole)
Lineage: Eukaryota; Metazoa; Chordata; Lepidosauria; Squamata; Anolidae
Source: RNAcentral
UCAGUCAUCUAAAUUCCUAAUAGUACCAGGUCCCAUCUGAUUUUGGAAGCUAAGUAGCAUUAACUCUGGUUAGUACUUAGUUGGGAGACUGCCAAUGAAUACCAGAUGCUGUAAGCU